AUUGAACGCUGGCGGAAUGCUUUACACAUGCAAGUCGAACGGCAGCACGGGGGCAGCCCUGGUGGCGAGUGGCGAACGGGUGAGUAAUACAUCGGAACGUGCCCGGUCGUGGGGGAUAACGUAGCGAAAGUUACGCUAAUACCGCAUACGAUCUGAGGAUGAAAGCGGGGGACCUUCGGGCCUCGCGCGAUCGGAGCGGCCGAUGUCAGACUAGGUAGUUGGUGGGGUAAAGGCCUACCAAGCCGACGAUCUGUAGCUGGUCUGAGAGGACGACCAGCCACACUGGAGCUGAGACACGGCCCAGACUCCUACGGGAGGCAGCAGUGGGGAAUUUUGGACAAUGGGCGCAAGCCUGAUCCAGCCAUUCCGCGUGCAGGACGAAGGCCUUCGGGUUGUAAACUGCUUUUGUACGGAACGAAAAGGCUCUGGCUAAUACCUGGGGCUCAUGACGGUACCGUAAGAAUAAGCACCGGCUAACUACGUG
Molecule: ribosomal RNA, 484 nt
Filed under: uncultured bacterium
Lineage: Bacteria
Description: partial 16S ribosomal RNA
Rfam family: Bacterial small subunit ribosomal RNA
Source: RNAcentral